RNAcentral lists this ribosomal RNA (1908 nucleotides) under Fidelibacterota bacterium. RNAcentral describes it as "partial 23S ribosomal RNA". It matches the Rfam family "Bacterial large subunit ribosomal RNA", at positions 1 to 2069 of the family's 2925-position model. Lineage: Bacteria; Pseudomonadati; Fidelibacterota. The record is from RNAcentral.
AAUCAAGCGUUUAAGGGCGUUUGGCGGAUGCCUUGGCACUGAAAGACGAUGAAGGACGUGAUAUACUGCGAAAAGUUUCGGGGAGCUGUAUGUAAGUUUUGAUCCGAAAAUAUCCGAAUGGGGAAACCUAACUCUUUAUGAGUUACUUCACACCGAAUUCAUAGGUGUGAAGAGAUAACCUGGAGAACUGAAACAUCUAAGUAACCAGAGGAAAAGAAAUCAAUUGAGACUCCGUUAGUAGUGGCGAGCGAAAGCGGACUAGGCCAGUAAUGUUAAUUAGAUAAUUUGAAUAGUUUGGAAAUGCUAACCAAAGAGGGUGAUAGUCCCGUAAAAGUAAUGCUAAUUAAUAUUCUCGAGUAGAGCGAGACACGUGAAAUCUUGUUUGAAUUUGGGGGGACCACCCUCUAAGCCUAAGUACUCUUCAGUGACCGAUAGUGAACAAGUACCGUGAGGGAAAGGUGAAAAGAACCCCUACUAGGGGAGUGAAAUAGAACCUGAAACCGAAUGCCUACAAACAGUCGAAGCUCUUUUUAGAGUGACGGCGUACCUUUUGUAUAAUGGGUCAGUGACUUAAUUUGUGCAGCAAGCUUAAGCCGAUAGGUGUAGGCGUAGCGAAAGCGAGUCUUAAUAGGGCGUUUAGUUGUAUGAAUUAGACCCGAAAACGAAUGAGCUUACCAUGAACAGGUUGAAGGCAGGGUAACACCUGCUGGAGGACCGAACCAGUUGACGUUGAAAAGUCUUUGGAUGAUUUGUGGUAAGGGGUGAAAGGCCAAUCAAAUUCGUAGAUAGCUGGUUUUCCGCGAAAACUAUUUAGGUAGUGCGUUGAAUAAACAUACUUUUGGAGGUAGAGCACUAAAUGGGCUAGGGGGGAGAGAUCCCUACCAAACCUAAUAAAACUCCGAAUGCCAAAAGUAAUUCUUCAACAGACAGACUGUGGGUGCUAAGGUCCAUGGUCGAGAGGGAAAAAGCCCAGAUCACCAGAUAAGGUCCCUAAGUUAUGGUUAAGUGUGAAAGGAUGUGGAGAUUCCUUAACAGCCGGGAGGUUGGCUUAGAAGCAGCCAUCCUUUAAAGAUAGCGUAACAGCUCACCGGUCUAAUAGAGUUUCUGCGCCGAAGAUGUAACGGGGCUAAAAUCACAUACCGAAUCUGUGGGUUUAUAAAACUUUCGAGUUUUAUAAGCGGUAGCGGAACGUUCUGUAAGCCUGUAAAGGGAUACCCGUGAGGGAUCCUGGAGGUAUCAGAAGUGCGAAUGCUGACAUGAGUAACGAUAAACGAAGUGAAAAACUUCGUCGCCGAAAAUCCAAGGGUUUCUGCGCAAGGUUAAUCCGCGCAGAGUUAGUCGGCACCUAAGGCGAGGGCGAAAGCCGUAGUCGAUGGAAAUAAGGUUAAUAUUCCUUAACCAGAUGGAAGUGACGGAUUUUGUAAGUUGUGAGUUCUUAAUGGAUUGAACUUGCUGCGAAAAAGUCCCAGGAAAUAGCUCCAUCAUUAGACCGUACCCUAAACCGACACAGGUGGAUUAAUAGAGUAUAUUUAGGCGCUUGAGAGAAUGAUGUUGAAGGAACUCGGCAAAAUGCUUCUGUAACUUCGGAAUAAAGAAGACCUUUUAUUGGGCAACCAUUAGAAGGUGGCACAAGCCAGGGAGAAGCGACUGUUUAUCAAAAACACAGGGCUCUGCUAACACGUAAGUGGAUGUAUAGGGUCUGACGCCUGCCCGGUGCUGGAAGGUUAAUGCGAUGGGUGCAAGCUCAUUUCUGAAGCCCCAGUAAACGGCGGCCGUAACUAUAACGGUCCUAAGGUAGCGAAAUUCCUUGUCGGGUAAGUUCCGACCUGCAUGAAUGGCGUAACGAUUUCUCCGCUGUCUCCAACAUCAACUCAGUGAAAUUGAAUUCUCCGUGAAGAUGCGGAGUUC